This 592-nucleotide ribosomal RNA is filed under the name Naganishia vaughanmartiniae. Its description in RNAcentral is "eukaryotic LSU rRNA". The stretch from base 169 to 322 matches the Rfam family "5.8S ribosomal RNA". The record is from RNAcentral. Lineage: Eukaryota; Fungi; Basidiomycota; Tremellomycetes; Filobasidiales; Filobasidiaceae.
UUAGUGAAUUGAAUAUGUUAGCGGACCUCUUCGGAGUCCCUAGCAUCAAAUCAUAUCCAUAACACCUGUGAACUGUAAGGCUGUCUUGAAAACGAAAGUUAUUAGAGCAGCCUGCCCAUUUUAUACAAACAUUAAAGUAACAAACGUAGUCUUAUUAUAAUCUAAUAAAACUUUCAACAACGGAUCUCUUGGCUCUCGCAUCGAUGAAGAACGCAGCGAAAUGCGAUAAGUAAUGUGAAUUGCAGAAUUCAGUGAAUCAUCGAAUCUUUGAACGCACCUUGCGCUCUUUGGUAUUCCGAAGAGCAUGCCUGUUUGAGUGUCAUGAAAAUAUCAACCUUGACUUGGGUUUUGUGCUCUUGUCUUGGCUUGGAUUUGGCUGUUUGCCGCUCGAAAGAGUCGGCUCAGCUUAAAAGUAUUAGCUGGAUCUGUCUUUGAGACUUGGUUUGACUUGGCGUAAUAAGUUAUUUCGCUGAGGACAAUCUUCGGAUUGGCCGAGUUUCUAGGACGCUUGUCCGCUUUCCAAUACAAGUUCUAGCUUGCUAGACAUGACUUUUUUAUUAUCUGGCCUCAAAUCAGGUAGGACUACCCGCUG